This 334-nucleotide ribosomal RNA is filed under the name Zaphotias pedaliotus. RNAcentral's name for it is "12S ribosomal RNA". It matches the Rfam family "Bacterial small subunit ribosomal RNA", at positions 870 to 1366 of the family's 1533-position model. The record is from RNAcentral. Lineage: Eukaryota; Metazoa; Chordata; Actinopteri; Stomiiformes; Gonostomatidae.
CGCCAGGGGACUACAAGCGCCAGCUUAAAACCCAAAGGACUUGGCGGUACUUCAGACCCACCUAGAGGAGCCUGUUCUAGAACCGAUAACCCCCGUUUAACCUCGCCCCCUCUUGUCCCCCCCCCUCCCGCCUAUAUACCGCCGUCGUCAGCUUACCCUGCAAAGGCCCCAUAGUAAGCUAAAAGGAUAUAACCCAAAACGUCAGGUCGAGGUGUAGCGUACGAGGCGGAAAGAAAUGGGCUACAUUUCCUAAACUAGGACACACAGACGGUGUUAUGAAACUAAUACCCAAAGGUGGAUUUAGCAGUAAGAAGAAACCAAAAUAUGUUUUGAA